UUUUCCUCCCCUUUUCAAUUUAGAUCUCGACAAGCACAUCAGCCACAGACUGCAAGUGUAUAGGUAAGGACAGCAGAAGCCCUGGCUUGCCAACAGGUUACAGAAGUUCCUGUUCUUCUCUCCAUGAAGUACAACGCAUGAAAAUAUUUUAAUUAGAAUCGUUCUUUCUGCUGUGAA
Lacerta agilis (Sand lizard) is the source of this 177-nucleotide long non-coding RNA. RefSeq lists it as uncharacterized. NCBI's taxonomy places the organism in Eukaryota, Metazoa, Chordata, Lepidosauria, Squamata, Lacertidae. The record is from RefSeq and is a predicted model, not a curated record. The transcript is spliced from 2 exons.